RNAcentral lists this ribosomal RNA (429 nucleotides) under uncultured prokaryote. RNAcentral describes it as "bacterial SSU rRNA". It matches the Rfam family "Bacterial small subunit ribosomal RNA", at positions 355 to 776 of the family's 1533-position model. RNAcentral also lists the same sequence under 1 other name. The record is from RNAcentral.
CUAAGAAUCUUCCGCAAUGGGCGAAAGCCUGACGGAGCGACGCCGCGUGAACGAUGAAGGCCGUGAGGUUGUAAAGUUCUUUUCGGGAGGGAGAACAACCGUGGCAGGGAAUGGCCGCGGGAUGACGUGAAUCCCGGAAUAAGCCCCGGCUAACUACGUGCCAGCAGCCGCGGUAACACGUAGGGGGCGAGCGUUGUUCGGAAUCAUUGGGCGUAAAGGGCGUGCAGGCGGCCCUGCAAGUCCGGCGUGAAAGACCCCGGCCCAACCGGGGGGACGCGCUGGAAACUGCAGGGCUUGAAUACAGGAGGGGAUGCCGGAAUUCCAGGUGUAGGGGUGAAAUCUGUAGAUAUCUGGAAGAACACCAAUGGCGAAGGCAGGCAUCUGGCCAUGUAUUGACGCUGAGACGCGAAGGUGCGGGGAGCAAACAGG